CUGCGCUAUAGGCCGCAUCAAAUCCUCUUGUUUUACUCCUUUUUUCCACCUACUGUUAUCAGGCUCAAAGCUAACUUAAGCAUCAGAGGGUCCAGAACUGAAGGAUCCCUAUCGGUUUUUCACUUAUUUUGCAAAUUCUGCGAAGGAGUUUCAGAUCGGACUACUACUAACCCUCCAGCUCAACUUUGUCCGAUCUUUCUCGUUUCAAAUUUUGAGCCUCACACUAA
This 227-nucleotide long non-coding RNA is filed under the name Elaeis guineensis (African oil palm). RNAcentral's name for it is "long non-coding RNA (EGUI_LNC071181)". Lineage: Eukaryota; Viridiplantae; Streptophyta; Magnoliopsida; Arecales; Arecaceae. The record is from RNAcentral.